RNAcentral lists this ribosomal RNA (263 nucleotides) under uncultured bacterium. Its description in RNAcentral is "partial 16S ribosomal RNA". It matches the Rfam family "Bacterial small subunit ribosomal RNA", at positions 524 to 780 of the family's 1533-position model. The record is from RNAcentral.
UACAGAGGGUGCAAGCGUUAAUCGGAAUUACUGGGCGUAAAGCGCGCGUAGGUGGUUUGUUAAGUUGGAUGUGAAAUCCCCGGGCUCAACCUGGGAACUGCAUUCAAAACUGACAAGCUAGAGUAUGGUAGAGGGUGGUGGAAUUUCCUGUGUAGCGGUGAAAUGCGUAGAUAUAGGAAGGAACACCGUAGUGGCGAAGGCGACCACGUGGACUGAUACUGACACUGAAGGUGCGGAAAGCGUAGGGAGCUAAACACGGAUUA